GACAGAGGGUGCAAACGUUGUUCGGAAUUAUUGGGCGUUAAAGCGCGUGUAGGCGGCCAAGUAAGUCUUACGUGAAAUCCUGAGGCUCAACCUCAGCCUGCGCGGGAGUACUGCUUGGCUAGAGUCGGAAGAGGAGAGUGGAAUUCCUGGUGUAGCGGUGGAAUGCGCAGAUAUCAGGAGGAACACCGAUGGCGAAGGCAGAUCUCUGGGCCGGUAAC
Molecule: ribosomal RNA, 218 nt
Filed under: uncultured bacterium
Lineage: Bacteria
Description: partial 16S ribosomal RNA
Rfam family: Bacterial small subunit ribosomal RNA
Source: RNAcentral